CAGACAGUCAGAACUGUGCACUAGGCCUAUCUAUCAGUGUGUUGGUCAGCCACCAGACAGUCAGAACUGUGCACUAGGCCUAUCUAUCAGUGUGUUGGUCAGCCACCAGACAGUCAGAACUGUGCACUAGGUCUAUCAGUGUGUUGGUCAGCCACCAGACAGACAGUCAGAACCGUGCACUAGGUCUAUCUAUCAGUGUAUUGGUCAGCCACCAGGCAGACAGUCAGAACUGUGCACUAGGCCUAUCUAUCAGUGUGUUGGUCAGACAGUCAGAACUGUGCACUAGGCCUAUCUAUCAGUGUGUUGGUCAGACAGUCAGAACUGUGCACUAGGUCUAUCUAUCAGUGUGUUGGUCAGCCACCAGACAGUCAGAACUGUGCACUAGGCCUAUCUAUCAGUGUGUUGGUCAGCCACCAGACAGUCAGAACUGUGCACUAGGCCUAUCUAUCAGUGUGUUGGUCAGCCACCAGGCAGACAGUCAGAACUGUGCACUAGGUCUAUCUAUCAGUGUGUUGGUCAGCCACCAGACAGUCAGAACUGUGCACUAGGCCUAUCUAUCAGUGUGUUGGUCAGCCACCAGACAGUCAGAACUGUGCACUAGGCCUAUCUAUCAGUGUGUUGGUCAGCCACCAGGCAGACAGUCAGAAC
Long non-coding RNA from Oncorhynchus keta (chum salmon), 648 nucleotides. RefSeq lists it as uncharacterized. The transcript has 3 exons. The record is from RefSeq and is a predicted model, not a curated record. Lineage: Eukaryota; Metazoa; Chordata; Actinopteri; Salmoniformes; Salmonidae.